UACGUAGGUGGCAAGCGUUAUCCGGAUUUACUGGGUGUAAAGGGCGUGUAGGCGGGGACGCAAGUCAGAUGUGAAAACCACGGGCUCAACCUGUGGCCUGCAUUUGAAACUGUGUUUCUUGAGUACUGGAGAGGCAGACGGAAUUCCUAGUAUAGCGGUGAAAUGCGUAGAUAUUAGGAGGAACACCAGUGGCGAAGGCGGUCCGCUGGACAGCAACUGACGCUGAGGCGCGAAAGCGUGGGGAGCAAACAGG
RNAcentral lists this ribosomal RNA (253 nucleotides) under uncultured bacterium. RNAcentral describes it as "partial 16S ribosomal RNA". It matches the Rfam family "Bacterial small subunit ribosomal RNA", at positions 524 to 776 of the family's 1533-position model. The record is from RNAcentral.